CAGCAGCCGCGGUAAAACGAAGGGGGCUAGCGUUGUUCGGAUUUACUGGGCGUAAAGCGCACGUAGGCGGAUCGAUCAGUCAGGGGUGAAAUCCCAGAGCUCAACUCUGGAGCUGCCUUUGAUACUGUCGAUCUGGAGUAUGGAAGAGGUGAGUGGAAUUCCGAGUGUAGAGGUGAAAUUCGUAGAUAUUCGGAGGAACACCAGUGGCGAAGGCGGCUCACUGGUCCAUUACUGACGCUGAGGUGCGAAAGCGUGGGGAGCAAACAGGAUUAGAUACCCCGGUAGUCCCUGUCUCUUAUAA
RNAcentral lists this ribosomal RNA (301 nucleotides) under uncultured bacterium. RNAcentral describes it as "partial 16S ribosomal RNA". It matches the Rfam family "Bacterial small subunit ribosomal RNA", at positions 509 to 809 of the family's 1533-position model. The record is from RNAcentral.